RNAcentral lists this ribosomal RNA (169 nucleotides) under uncultured Sulfurospirillum sp. RNAcentral describes it as "partial 16S ribosomal RNA". It matches the Rfam family "Bacterial small subunit ribosomal RNA", at positions 337 to 524 of the family's 1533-position model. The record is from RNAcentral. Lineage: Bacteria; Pseudomonadati; Campylobacterota; Epsilonproteobacteria; Campylobacterales; Sulfurospirillaceae.
CCCUACGGGAGGCAGCAGUGGGGAAUAUUGCACAAUGGAGGAAACUCUGAUGCAGCAACGCCGCGUGGAGGAUGACACAUUUCGGUGCGUAAACUCCUUUUAUAUGGGAAGAUAAUGACGGUACCAUAUGAAUAAGCACCGGCUAACUCCUGCCAGCAGCCGCGGUAAU